This is a long non-coding RNA of Dermacentor silvarum, 205 nucleotides long. RefSeq lists it as uncharacterized. The record is from RefSeq and is a predicted model, not a curated record. NCBI's taxonomy places the organism in Eukaryota, Metazoa, Arthropoda, Arachnida, Ixodida, Ixodidae. The transcript is spliced from 3 exons.
GACAGUGACCGCGAGCUGUUCUCCCUUGGUAGUUGCCCAACCGAGGAGAGGCUGGUGCGCGUGCUCCGUCUGCGCCAACAGGACGUUCGCUGGCACACCACCCGACUCACCCUGGCACGCGAGAUUUGCGGCCUCAGGGAUAACGCCCAGAACCGGACAUCGACAUUCUUCCUGGGUGCCAGAACCAGCCUGGUCCAUGACACGC